RNAcentral lists this long non-coding RNA (519 nucleotides) under Salvia miltiorrhiza (redroot sage). RNAcentral's name for it is "long non-coding RNA (SMIL_LNC002524)". The record is from RNAcentral. Lineage: Eukaryota; Viridiplantae; Streptophyta; Magnoliopsida; Lamiales; Lamiaceae.
UUAUCAAUUGAUUGACAUAAAAUUAAGUGCCAAAAUGCACAAGCAGGCAGGCAAACAGCUGUGCACCAACAAAGAUUAAGACUUGCUAAUCAAGAAUUUAUUACAAUGGGUGCUCUUUAGUGCAGAGACGCAAUAUCAUUUUGGAUUCUGGCUGAUUUAAUUUAUUUUUACCAAUGCAUCAUUAUUUUAUUUUAUUUUCUUUUUCUUUUUUGAUGUAGGUCGAUAUUUCCCUUUCGAGCAUCGAGGGUUUGAUUGAUGUGUGAUAGUGUUUUUUAGGGAGAAAAACAUGGGAUAAUUAAUGAGGUUGUAGUAAACUUGUUUUUGUAGUGAGAGAAGAUUGUGCACAUGGGGAUGGGGUCAUGAGCAGACACAAGCAGUGGUCGUUUAUAAAUGCGUGGUAGACUGGACUAUGAUUUCAUUACUUCAAAUAUGUAUAUAACAAUGCUUUGGGAUUUUUUUUGUGCGCAUUUAAGAUUAUACUGUUUUGGGUUGCAGAGAGUGGCAUAAUGCAAAGCUCCA